Molecule: ribosomal RNA, 716 nt
Filed under: uncultured marine microorganism
Description: bacterial SSU rRNA
Rfam family: Bacterial small subunit ribosomal RNA
Source: RNAcentral
AGAGUUUGAUCCUGGCUCAGAUUGAACGCUGGCGGCAGGCCUAACACAUGCAAGUCGAACGGUAACAUUUCUAGCUUGCUAGAAGAUGACGAGUGGCGGACGGGUGAGUAAUGCUUGGGAACUUGCCUUUGCGAGGGGGAUAACAGUUGGAAACGACUGCUAAUACCGCAUAACGUCUACGGACCAAACGGGGCUUAGGCUCCGGCGCAAAGAGAGGCCCAAGUGAGAUUAGCUAGUUGGUAAGGUAAUGGCUUACCAAGGCAACGAUCUCUAGCUGUUCUGAGAGGAAGAUCAGCCACACUGGAACUGAGACACGGUCCAGACUCCUACGGGAGGCAGCAGUGGGGAAUAUUGCACAAUGGGGGAAACCCCGAUGCAGCCAUGCCGCGUGUGUGAAGAAGGCCUUCGGGUUGUAAAGCACUUUCAGUUGUGAGGAAAAGUUAGUAGUUAAUACCUGCUAGCCGUGACGUUAACAACAGAAGAAGCACCGGCUAACUCCGUGCCAGCAGCCGCGGUAAUACGGAGGGUGCGAGCGUUAAUCGGAAUUACUGGGCGUAAGGCGCACGCAGGCGGUUUGUUAAGCUAGAUGUGAAAGCCCCGGGCUCAACCUGGGAUAGUCAUUUAGAACUGGCAGACUAGAGUCUUGGAGAGGGGAGUGGAAUUCCAGGUGUAGCGGUGAAAUGCGUAGAUAUCUGGAGGAACAUCAGUGGCGAAGG